CCUACGGGGUGCAGCAGUGGGGAAUAUUGGGCAAUGGGCGCAAGCCUGACCCAGCAACGCCGCGUGAAGGAAGAAGGCUUUCGGGUCGUAAACUUCUUUUCUGAGGGACGAAGAAAGUGACGGUACCUCAGGAAUAAGCCACGGCUAACUACGUGCCAGCAGCCGCGGUAAUCCGUAGGUGGCAAGCGUUAGCCGGAUUUAUUGGGUGGAAUGGGCGUGUAGGCGGGAAAGCAAGUCAGAUGUGAAAACUCAGGGCUCAACGCUGAGCCUGCAUUUGAAACUGUUUUUCUUGAGUGUUGGAGAGGCAAGCGGAAUUCCGUGUGUAGCGGUGAAAUGCGUAGAUAUACGGAGGAACACCAGUGGCGAAGGCGGAUUGCUGGACAGUAACUGACGCUGAGGCGCGAAAGCGUGGGGAGCAAACAGGAUUAGAUACCCCAGUAGUC
RNAcentral lists this ribosomal RNA (443 nucleotides) under uncultured bacterium. Its description in RNAcentral is "partial 16S ribosomal RNA". It matches the Rfam family "Bacterial small subunit ribosomal RNA", at positions 338 to 795 of the family's 1533-position model. The record is from RNAcentral.